This 688-nucleotide ribosomal RNA is filed under the name uncultured fungus. Its description in RNAcentral is "eukaryotic LSU rRNA". The stretch from base 220 to 373 matches the Rfam family "5.8S ribosomal RNA". The record is from RNAcentral. Lineage: Eukaryota; Fungi.
CUUGGUCAUUUAGAGGAAGUAAAAGUCCUAAGGGGUUCCCGCCUGUGAACCUGCGGAACGAUCAUUCAUAAUAAGUGUUUUAUGGCACUUUUUUAAAUCCAUAUCCACUUGAGUGCCUUGUCCGGGUUGGUUUCUCUCUUUUGACAUAUCAUCCCCAAACAUCAUCUCCAUCUUAACUCUUUGUCUGAAAAAUAUUAUGAAUAAAACAAUUCGAAAUUCAACUUUCAACAACGGAUCUCUUGGCUCUCGCAUCGAUGAAGAACGCAGCGAAAUGCGAUACGUAAUGUGAAUUGAAUAAUUCAGUGAAUCCUCCAAUCUUUGAACCCAUAUUGCGCUCUUUGGUAUUCCAAACAACAUGCUUGUUUGAGUAUCAUUAAACACCUCGUAGCCUUUUUUCUCUUUUGAAAAAAGGGUUUGGACUUGAGCAAUCCGAACACCCAUCUUAUAUAGACAGGGGGCGAGUUGCUUGAAAUGCCUGAGCGUCUGGACAUUCUCCUGAGCUAAAAGUGUAUUCAAUUAGUCCCGUCCAACGGAUGAUUACUUUUGCUGCAUCCACAAUGAAGGGAGUUUGACCUUUUUGGCUGACUGAUGCAGGAUUUUCACAAGAAUCUUCAUAACCCCUUGUCAUACUCUAUCUCACCUCGAGUCACACUACCCGCUGACCUCAAGCAUAUCAAUAAGCGGAGGA